GCUUUGGAACAUCCUGUCCUGAAAUUACUCCAGCAUCUAGCCAUUCUUGUCUCAUUUCAUAAAGCUAAGCAGGGAUGGACCCAGUUAAUACUUGGAUGAGAGAUGUACAGAAAACCCCAGGGCUGUAAGUU
RNAcentral lists this ribosomal RNA (131 nucleotides) under Salvator merianae (Argentine black and white tegu). Lineage: Eukaryota; Metazoa; Chordata; Lepidosauria; Squamata; Teiidae. The record is from RNAcentral.